GAGGAGCGGCAGCCCCGCCGUGAACCGCCAUGGCGGCACCUCAAGGUGGUAGAAAGGUUUGAGGGAUCAAGUGAUCUCUAAGCUGUUGUAGGGCACAGAGCGGUUCUGAGUAAUCAACAAGAUUACCUGGAUCGGGAGGCCUCAUUUGGAGCCAGGUCUGAGGUUGGGGGUUGGAGCAGAAGGUCGCCCUCUCCCGGCCAGGACACCGCAGCCGGAUCCCGACCCCGCGGUGCAUGAUGGGAAGUCUGGGAUGGAUCAGGGCUAAGGCGGAAGUGAAGCGUCGUCAGCGCUAGCUUGACUGUGUUGGUCCUGAGAUGACAGGAGGAGUAGAAGCCGAGGAAGCGACAGGUGAAUGAUCUACAGUUGCAGUUUUUCAUCACUUCACCGGCUCAAUCCCGGUAAAUAAAUUAAAAUGAAAUCCUGGUCUAAACUUACGUGACAGGCGCGACCGAGCAAAAAAAAAAAAAAAAAGAAAGAAGGCUCGAGCUCAACUUCAAAGUGUCGCAAAACGGGGAGCCACGCUGCGCGAGCUCGGACUUAGCAGGUGGGCUAUAAAUAACUUUUAAUUGCUGUUGUUGUCUGGAAGCGAAUCUUUAUUUACGCGCUUGUUUUAUUCUGUUCAGAUUAAUGGGUAUUAGUGA
This 641-nucleotide long non-coding RNA is filed under the name Oryzias javanicus (javanese ricefish). Its description in RNAcentral is "lncRNA (ENSOJAG00000015015.1)". The record is from RNAcentral. Lineage: Eukaryota; Metazoa; Chordata; Actinopteri; Beloniformes; Adrianichthyidae.